Molecule: transfer RNA, 157 nt
Filed under: Candidatus Woesearchaeota archaeon
Lineage: Archaea; Nanobdellati; Candidatus Woesearchaeota
Description: tRNA-Gly
Source: RNAcentral
GCACCGGUGGUAUAAUGGCUAGUAUCUCAGCCUUCCAAGCUGAUGAUCCGGGUUCGAACAGAUGUCACGCCAUCUGAAAGGCGAAGCGACUUCGUUUGUGCUCAGCCGCGAUCACUCAAAAGAUUGCUGUGCAUCUCAGAAAGUCCCGGCCGGUGCA